AUAAGAGGGUGAGGUAAAGUCCGGGCUCCACCGGAAAAAAUGCCGGGUAAUAACCGGGCGCCGUGCGGCAGAUGCAUAAUUUCUUGCAUAUCCCCAUGGCGACAGAAAGUGCAACAGAAAAUAAACCGCCGGCAACGGUAAGGGUGAAAAGGCAGUGUAAGAGACUACCGCUUUUCUGGUAACAGAAAUGGCAUUGCAAACCUCAUUUGGAGCAAGAUUGAGCAGAAGUCUUAUUCCGGUAAAUGACUUCGGGUAAAUCGCUAAAGGUAUCUGGUAACAGAUAUUUCGGAUAGAUGGUUAUUUGCUUCCAUGAAGCAGACAAAACCCGGCUUACAUCCCGUCUUUU
Molecule: RNase P RNA, 346 nt
Filed under: uncultured Treponema sp.
Lineage: Bacteria; Pseudomonadati; Spirochaetota; Spirochaetia; Treponematales; Treponemataceae
Description: Bacterial RNase P class A
Rfam family: Bacterial RNase P class A
About the family: Ribonuclease P (RNase P) is a ubiquitous endoribonuclease, found in archaea, bacteria and eukarya as well as chloroplasts and mitochondria. Its best characterised activity is the generation of mature 5'-ends of tRNAs by cleaving the 5'-leader elements of precursor-tRNAs. Cellular RNase Ps are ribonucleoproteins.
Source: RNAcentral